Molecule: long non-coding RNA, 1214 nt
Organism: Neoarius graeffei (lesser salmon catfish)
Lineage: Eukaryota; Metazoa; Chordata; Actinopteri; Siluriformes; Ariidae
Exons: 4
Source: RefSeq, a predicted model, not a curated record
AUGGCGGCGUCCAAGGAGCAGGCGUGCGACUGGGCUCGCUGAAGAAAAUAAGUCUUACGCUAGUUAAUGUAAGUUCGAGUCUAAGUGUGAAAGUUUGAGUAUUGUUGUUUGCUUUCGGAAGAAGUACGGUAGUUGUCAGUGUUCGGGAGAACCAACGUGAAGACAUUGAAGACCGUAUUCAGCCGUAGGCUACGGAAGCAGUACUCGUCGUUAGUGUGUGAGACGGAUUGAGCUCACUAGGUAGUUUGCAGUCUCAGACAAUAGACUUCUGUAGAUCGACGCCUUUACUUCGACAGCGGAGCAAGAUAAUCUACUCCAGCAGCUGCCUGUCCCUUGACCGCUUCUCUCUCUCUCUCUCUCUCCCUCUCUCCCUCCAGCCACGGUGGUGCCCGGUGUGUGUGAGUACCCUGCCACCAGUCGUUUUGAAGAGUCGUUUGGUACAGAGACUGAUUCUCUCUCAUGAAGACGAACAUGAAAAACAAAACUGGAUCAGAACAAAAUAUUCUUAUGAUACUUGGGGCUGAAAUCAUUCAUCCACUGUCCAGAAAAAGCAGUUGUAUCGCUGUCUUCCUGUGAUGUGCAGAAAACGAUGCAAACAUUUCUGAGGACUGUUCUUUUUCCAAGGAAGAGCAAGGCUGCAAGUGUUUUUACUGGAACAAAAGGAGGCAGUGUGGACAUCUUCUGAGAAUACCCUGAUGAAUAUAAAUAUACACCCAUGCACUUUUGUCAUCAUCCAUGCACUUCUUCUGAUGUAUUAAUUCAAUCUAAGCAGGGUGAUGAGGUCGUCUGUAAGGGAAGAUACAGUAAACACUGCCUCUGCAUGUAGCUUCUCUGUCACCAUCAGACACUGCUUGUUAAUUGCCUACUUAAUGAUCAAAGUGGUUUCUCAAAUUAAUAAAUUAUUAAAAAUUAAAAUGGUUAACCUUACUGUGUUGAUCUUGACUGUAAACCCUUGUUCACUUAAUGUCAACUGCUUCCACUGUUUCCUAAAUUUGUGAAUAAAUGUUUUCGGAUUGAAUCUUCAGAAAAUGAUAGAACUGUGAGAAGCUCCAUGGUGAAAUGAUUUGUUUACUUAAAAAAAAACAGACGUGGUGUUAUCUAAGGGCUAAACAUUAUGUUUGUGUCUGAUACAUUAAAGCAUGGCGGCACGGUGGUGUAGUGGUUAGCGCUGUCGCCUCACAGCAAGAAGGUCCUGGGUUCGAGCCCCGGGGCUG